UACGUAGGGACCAAGCGUUGUUCGGAUUUACUGGGCGUAAAGGGCGCGUAGGCGGCAAUUCAAGUCAUCUGUGAAAUCUCCGGGCUUAACUCGGAACGGUCAGAUGAUACUGCUUUGCUCGAGUGCGGAAGGGGCAAUCGGAAUUCUUGGUGUAGCGGUGAAAUGCGUAGAUAUUGCUCGGAAGGCCAGAGCCGAAGGGGCCCUACUGGUACGUAACUGACACUGAGGCACGAAAGCGUGGGGAGCAAACGGG
This 253-nucleotide ribosomal RNA is filed under the name uncultured bacterium. RNAcentral describes it as "partial 16S ribosomal RNA". It matches the Rfam family "Bacterial small subunit ribosomal RNA", at positions 524 to 776 of the family's 1533-position model. The record is from RNAcentral.